CCCGGGCCGCGGUGGUGGGCUCCGCGCGCCUCGCUCCCGGGCCCCGGCCCCUUCACGGCCGCCGCGGCGGGCGCCACGGGUCUUGAGGCAUAGCUGCAACCAAUGAGAACAAUGCUGGUGGGAAUGGCCUCCGUCGAGUGCCUCGGAGGAAGGCCCCGCAGUGGACCCUGGGCGAUGUGCCACGUUCGGAGCCCUUCUCUGGGGUUGCAAAGGUGAAGGCCAUCGGCCCUCGAGGAACCCGCAGCGGCAAGGAAGAGGGCACCGUGAAAUGCAAACUAUUUAACUUAUGCUCCGUAUGCCUUUGGGGAAGUUGUUUUAGCUCCUAGUAACAACUUCUUCGUCUAUAGUGUAGUAAUAAAGAUACUGAUGUUGGAA
This is a long non-coding RNA of Suricata suricatta (meerkat), 375 nucleotides long. RefSeq lists it as uncharacterized. Lineage: Eukaryota; Metazoa; Chordata; Mammalia; Carnivora; Herpestidae. The record is from RefSeq and is a predicted model, not a curated record. The transcript has 2 exons.